Small nuclear RNA from Heterocephalus glaber (naked mole-rat), 62 nucleotides. Its record names the gene U2. It matches the Rfam family "U2 spliceosomal RNA". From Rfam's summary of the family: U2 is a small nuclear RNA (snRNA) component of the spliceosome (involved in pre-mRNA splicing). Complementary binding between U2 snRNA (in an area lying towards the 5' end but 3' to hairpin I) and the branchpoint sequence (BPS) of the intron results the bulging out of an unpaired adenosine, on the BPS, which initiates a nucleophilic attack at the intronic 5' splice site, thus starting the first of two transesterification reactions that mediate splicing. NCBI's taxonomy places the organism in Eukaryota, Metazoa, Chordata, Mammalia, Rodentia, Bathyergidae. The record is from Ensembl.
AUCGCUUCUCGGCCUUUUGGCUAAGAUCAAGUGUAGUAUCUGUGCACACAUGCGCACCACAA